UACGUAGGGGGCAAGCGUUGUCCGGAUUUAUUGGGCGUAAAGAGCGUGUAGGCGGCCGUACAGGUCAGCUGUGAAAACUCGAGGCUCAACCUCGAGACGUCGGUUGAAACCGUACGGCUAGAGUCCGGAAGAGGAGAGUGGAAUUCCCGGUGUAGCGGUGAAAUGCGCAGAUAUCAGGAAGAACACCCGUGGCUAAGGCGGCUCUCUAGUACGGUACUGACGCUGAGACGCGAAAGCAUGGGGAGCGAACAGG
RNAcentral lists this ribosomal RNA (253 nucleotides) under uncultured bacterium. RNAcentral describes it as "partial 16S ribosomal RNA". It matches the Rfam family "Bacterial small subunit ribosomal RNA", at positions 524 to 776 of the family's 1533-position model. The record is from RNAcentral.